AGGCUUUAACAAACCGUUCAUUCAAGUCAAGAAAGGGAAAUUUUGAUGGAGCAGCUGGAUUGCAAAUCUAGAAUGCAAUUAGGAAGUGUUCAACUUCAUCCACCACUAUCACCUCAAAGGUUUGGUUCAAAAUCAGCAAAAUUGGAGUUGGAGAUAUCAAAAUGGGAACUAUCCAGAAAUUUUGAGAUUUUAAGGGCAUCAGUCGUGUUGAAGCUUGUUCUACCCACACCUCAUGCCCAGGUGCAUAUUGAAAUAGCUGAGUAAGAAAAAUUUCAGGUGCAGGACAAUUGCCAAAUAUUGAAUGAAUGUUAACAUUUUCAGAUAAUAUUAUUUAGAAGAUAUUUAGUAGUUGAGUUGUAGGUUUUGGAUUCCAAUUGGUACACCCUAGUGUAGCCCAUAAUUACAUUAA
Long non-coding RNA from Juglans regia (Persian walnut), 409 nucleotides. RefSeq lists it as uncharacterized. The transcript has 3 exons. Lineage: Eukaryota; Viridiplantae; Streptophyta; Magnoliopsida; Fagales; Juglandaceae. The record is from RefSeq and is a predicted model, not a curated record.